Molecule: unclassified non-coding RNA, 160 nt
Filed under: uncultured Tetracladium
Lineage: Eukaryota; Fungi; Ascomycota
Description: sequence contains ITS1
Source: RNAcentral
CCGAGUUCAUGCCCUUCGGGGUAGAUCUCCCACCCUUUGUAUACUAUACCUUUGUUGCUUUGGCGGGCCGCCUAGCUACUGGCUUCGGCUGGUAAGUGCCCGCCAGAGAACCCAAAACCCUGAAUUAUUAGUGUCGUCUGAGUACUAUUAUAAAUAGUUA